GAUGAACGCUGGCGGCGUGCCUAAUACAUGCAAGUCGAGCGAACGGACGAGAAGCUUGCUUCUCUGAUGUUAGCGGCGGACGGGUGAGUAACACGUGGAUAACCUACCUAUAAGACUGGGAUAACUUCGGGAAAUCGGAGCUAAUACCGGAUAAUAUUUUGAACCGCAUGGUUCAAAAGUGAAAGACGGUCUUGCUGUCACUUAUAGAUGGAUCCGCGCUGCAUUAGCUAGUUGGUAAGGUAACGGCUUACCAAGGCAACGAUGCAUAGCCGACCUGAGAGGGUGAUCGGCCACACUGGAACUGAGACACGGUCCAGACUCCUACGGGAGGCAGCAGUAGGGAAUCUUCCGCAAUGGGCGAAAGCCUGACGGAGCAACGCCGCGUGAGUGAUGAAGGUCUUCGGAUCGUAAAACUCUGUUAUUAGGGAAGAACAUAUGUGUAAGUAACUGUGCACAUCUUGACGGUACCUAAUCAGAAAGCCACGGCUAACUACGUG
This 497-nucleotide ribosomal RNA is filed under the name uncultured bacterium. Its description in RNAcentral is "partial 16S ribosomal RNA". It matches the Rfam family "Bacterial small subunit ribosomal RNA", at positions 28 to 507 of the family's 1533-position model. The record is from RNAcentral.